Molecule: ribosomal RNA, 433 nt
Filed under: uncultured bacterium
Lineage: Bacteria
Description: bacterial SSU rRNA
Rfam family: Bacterial small subunit ribosomal RNA
Source: RNAcentral
AACGAACGCUGGCGGCAGGCCUAACACAUGCAAGUCGAGCGCCCCGCAAGGGGAGCGGCGCACGGGUGAGUAACGCGUGGGAACGUGCCCAGAGGUCGGGGAUAACGGCGGGAAACUGCCGCUAAUACCCGGUAAGCCUUGAGAGGGAAAGGAGCAAUCCGCCUUUGGAGCGGCCCGCGUUGGAUUAGCUAGUUGGUGGGGUAAAAGCCUACCAAGGCGACGAUCCAUAGCUGGUCUGAGAGGAUGAUCAGCCACACUGGGACUGAGACACGGCCCAGACUCCUACGGGAGGCAGCAGUGGGGAAUAUUGGACAAUGGGGGAAACCCUGAUCCAGCCAUGCCGCGUGAGUGAAGAAGGCCCUAGGGUUGUAAAGCUCUUUCGACGGGGACGAUGAUGACGGUACCCGUAGAAGAAGCCCCGGCUAACUUCGUG